This is an RNA transcript of Lagenorhynchus albirostris (white-beaked dolphin), 5576 nucleotides long. It is a transcript of the gene named SH3 domain containing 19, with no coding region annotated. The record is from RefSeq and is a predicted model, not a curated record. Lineage: Eukaryota; Metazoa; Chordata; Mammalia; Artiodactyla; Delphinidae. The transcript is spliced from 23 exons.
AAGGAGGCCGCCGGGGCGCGCGAGGAGGCGGGGAAACCUGCUCGGCCCGCGCCCGGCCGCUCCCCCGCGGGCUGCAGGUGGAGCCGCGGAGGUAGCCGCUUCCGCCGCCGCCGCCUCCUCCGCCUCCUCCCCCCUGGGGCCUCCUCCCAGGCCCGGAGGCUGCUGGCGCGGGACGCCCGGAGCUGACGGCCGGCGCGCGGGGCCCGCGGCUCGUCGAUGGCUGAAGGCCGGCGGCGGGAGGACGAGGACGAAGAGCUGCACGAGCGCCGGGAGCUCGGGGGCCCGCGCCGCGCCCGGGGCCGUGCGCUGUCGGGCCACUCGGCCGCAGAUCGAAACGAACGAAAUAAACCAGAGCAUCGUUCUUCAAGCCAAGGACCCUUGUCAUCCAUUAGAGCAGUAAUCAAGAGAUCUUCUCGGACUUCUAUUCAGAGUGAGCUUCAUCGAGAUAGGAGGCGCCCAGAGAUCACCAUUGUGGCAGCUGAGCCACUGAGGCCGACCUCGUGGUUUCCAGGAGCCCCACCCCCAGGACUGGCAUUUCCCCCAUCUUCCACAGCAGGCCCUUGGAGGCCCAGUGAGCUGGUUCCUGCCGAGCUCCCACCAUCGUAUGAACAAGUCAUAAAAGAAAUCAACCAAGUUCAAGUUAACACUACAAAUAACAAUAAUGCUGCUGCCACUCCAAGGCACACUAUUACUUCAGCAACUCAGACUGACUUUUCAGAAGAAAUAGACAACCAUCUGCCUCAAAGUAAUGCAACACUGCCGGCACCUCUGAAACCUCUCCUGCCUUCCCCAGCAGCCUCAGUCAGCGAUCCUCCGACAGACGAGACGCCUUUAAUAGUCUUUGAUAUUUCUGAAGAACAGAGUUGUCCAGAAAACUCCAGUGCUACAAGAUGUCCAGUGCCCAAACCAAGAUCAAAAAGCAACCUCAGACCAGUGGCCAGAGAGCCUCACGUUAAAGAGCCGGAUCCCCAGAAAAGCAGCCCAGCGGCUACGCCAGAGGAGGCAACCCCGAGCCGGCCCCAGCCUCUGUGGGACGAUACCGGCCACUCGGACAGUCAGGCAGUGAUGAACAUUAUGAACGCAGAACGGAGCCCAAAUACCGUCGUUUCCAGGAUCAAAGCACUUGAGGGUCAGACAAAUGCGGAAAGCGUGGGACUGCCCAAGAAGCCAGAAAUUGCCCCCCGCACAGUCCCCCCGAGGCCUGCUCCUGCCUCAGGGAAACCCUCCGUGGCUCCCAAACCGGCAGCUGACAGAGCCUCUGGAGGCUGGGACUCCUGGACCACAAACAGACUCCGGGGGGCCUCUAGGGAAGGCCUCACCCCACACUCUCCACUGCAAGAAGCAGGGAGCGUCCCUGCAACCAAACCCGAAUUGCCAAAGAAACCGAAUCCUGGCCUCAUACGAAGUGUUAAUCCCGAGAGUCUGGGAGGAGGGUCCAUGGCCGAGAGCCCCGCCAGUGGGAAGAAAGCCCCGACUCCGGCUCCUCGGCCUUUGCUGCCCAAGAAAUCAGCUUCUGCAGGAGUGGCCCCCUCCCCUGCGGCCUCAGAAGCGCCCCCCUACCCUGCGGCUUUGCUGAAACCCAUCACUGUGCCUCCCCGACUCUCCGUGGCGUCACAAGCCAAAGCGUUCAGGUCCCUGGGAGAAGGACCCCCGGCCAGCCCCCCAGUCCCGGUUCUGCAAAGCAAGCCUCCGGGGGACAUCGACCUCAUCAGCUUUGACGAUGAGGUUUUACCCGCCCCAUCUGGGAACCUGGCUGAAGACUCUAUUGAUUCAGAGAUGGUUCUGGAUCCCUUUCAGCUCCCCACAAGAACAGAACCAGCAAAGGAACGAGCAGUUCAACCAGCACCCACCAGGAAGCCCACUGUGAUUCGAAUUCCAGCCAAACCAGGAAAAUGUUCACAUGAGGAGGAUCCACAAAGCCCACCUCCUCUCCCUACUGAAAAACCCAUUGGAAACACCUUCAGCACAGUAUCCGGAAAACUUGGUAAUGCUAACAGAACUAGAAACUUGGAAUCUGACCAUGCUGGUCAGUCAGGAGGUUCUGUGCGAGGACCCCCAAGGUUGCCACCGAGACCUGUGAAUGGAAAAGGCGUACUAGCUCGACAGCCUCCUCCCAAGGGGGCCCCUGAGAGACCACCUCCCCCAAAACUUCCUGCAACCAGAGCAGCAGAUAAAAAGCUGCCUUUUAAUCGGUCUUCUUCUGACAUGGAUCUUCAGAAAAAAACAAGUAACCUGGCGUCUGGACUCUCAAAAGCCAAGAGUCAAGUCCUUAAAAAUCAAGAUCCGGUGCUGCCCCCUCGCCCCAAACCAGGACACCCUCUCUACAGGAAAUACAUGCUGUCUGUGCCUCACGGAAUUGCCAGUGAAGACAUUGUCCCGCAAAACCCUGGAGAACUUUCUUGUAAGCGUGGGGACGUCCUUGUGAUACUGAAGCAGGUGGAAGGUAAUUACUUGGAGUGCCGGAAGGGAGCCGCCGCUGGCAGAGUUCACCUGUCUCACAUGAAGAUCAUCACCCCACUUGAUGAACAUCUCAGAAGCAGGCCGAACGAUCCAAGCCACGCUCAGAAGCCCGUUGACAGUGGUGCCCCUCAUGCUGUCGUUCUUCAUGAUUUUCCGGCAGAGCAAGUUGAUGAUUUGAACCUCACCUCAGGAGAAAUUGUUUAUCUUCUGGAAAAAAUAGGUACAGAUUGGUACAGGGGGAAAUGUAGAAACCAGACUGGUGUAUUUCCUGCCACCUACGUCAAAGUGAUUACUGAUGUUCCAGGAGGAAACGGGAAAAGGGAAUCCGUCACAUCUCAUUGUGUUAAAGGCCCAAGAUGUGUUGCUCGAUUUGAGUAUAUUGGAGACCAGAAGGAUGAGUUAAGUUUCUCAGAGGGAGAAAUUAUUAUUCUUAAAGAGUAUGUGAAUGACGAGUGGGCGAGAGGAGAACUUCGAGAGAGAUCUGGGAUCUUCCCCCUUAACUUUGUGGAACUCAUUGAGGAUCAUCCCACCUCUGGUACAAAUGUUUUAAGCACAAAGGUACCACUGAAAACCAAAAAAGAAGAUUCUGGUGCAAAUUAUCAGGAGAACAGUCUUUCUGCAGAAUGGUGCGAAGCUCUUCACAGUUUCACAGCGGAGACCAGUGACGACUUGUCCUUCAAGAGAGGAGACCAGAUCCUGAUCAUGGAACGUGUGGACUCCGACUGGUACAAGGGCAGACUGCGCGACAGGGAGGGCAUCUUCCCCGCAGUCUUCGUGCGGCCCUGCCCAGCUGAGGCUAAAAGUACGGCUGCUUUAGCACUGAAGGGGAGGAAGGCCAAAGCCUUGUAUGAUUUCCACGGGGAGAAUGAAGAUGAGCUUUCCUUCAAGGCUGGAGACAUAAUAACAGAGCUGGAAUCUGUAGAUGAUGACUGGAUGAGUGGAGAAUUGAUGGGAAAAUCUGGAAUAUUUCCCAAAACCUACAUUCAGUUUUUACAAGUCGGCUAAAGUUACAGAGGGGGGAAAUACAAAGCCUAACUCAGAACAACACCACCAUCUAGGGGCUUUUCACCUAAUUGCAGUCUCAUCCUGUUAAACCACAGAAAAGUCUGAGGAUCAGAGCUCAACCUGCAGAGGUUAAAUGAUUUGCCUAAGGUCAUAAAGUUAUCCCUACUUUGACCUAGACCAUCUGUCCUGAUUAUCAUCCUGGAGGCAGCCAAGAUGAGAUGAUCCUUUUUGGGGGAUUGCCAUAUUCUGUGACCCAGUAAGGUAUGUAGUACAGGAGGUGAGGGUGACAAAGUCAGAAACCUUUUUAAAGCUCAAGAGUGCUAGAUAUCCGUGGAUGGUAGGCAGCUGUGAAACAGCCAUCAAAUACCCUAUGGGCUCAUUGCCAGGUGGCCUUUGUAACAAGAAGUGCUACAUUGCUAGAUUGCAAGUGGUCCGGAAAACUAAGAACAUGACACAUAUGACAUACUAGCUUGAAGGGCUGCAGUUGUGUGGCCACAGUCAGUUGAUCCGACUGGGACAGCAACAUUGUAACCUAAAAGUGUGUCAACAGUGCUGAGGCACCAUCAGCCACCCUGAAAGGUGACCAAAGGACCGGUGUAGUUAGUCCAUCAGUAGUCAGUCUGUGAUAUGGCCUCAACUACCUCAAGACAAAUGGGCUGACUUUUGGCAGGAGUCACAAGUCUGCCAUGCAUGAGGAAGAGUUCUUUACUGUGUGCACAGCCCAUGAUGGUGGACAUGUAGCCAUGUGUGAGGGCAGUCUGGGUGGUGCAGGCUUGAUCAGCACCUUGAUUUUACUAGGUCAUAUCAGAGAACUGGCCUUUACCACAGGCAUCUACAUGAGUGACCCAGAUGGUCCAACCAGCAGCCACAAUUUGUUCCCACAACAUACGGCCUCUAAAAGGGGUGUUUUAAUCUGCCUGAAUAGUCUUGGAAGUGGCAGGCCCAAGAGUCAGCAAAGGUGACUGUUCAUGACCAGACCUACGAGAACACCCCUGAGUUCAGCUCACUGAGCAGUGACCAACCACAUUCACUUUAGCUCUGUAUAGCUGGCGUUGAGGUUGGACAGCCACAGCAGCACAGUGGAUACCAUUAGCUUUUAACUUAGCUGAGCCACUGGUGAUUCAGGUCCAGGUACUUAAGGGUCUCUGUGAAGUGAGGGUCCCUUUGAGGCAGCAGCUAUGCUUCAGGUAAUGGGGUGGGAGACAGUUUUCCAAGAGUUUCUGAGGCUGGCACAUUCCAGAAAACACUAUUUUUACUUGACCAGGAAGGUCUCCAAUACCCAAAGCAUCCAACAAGGAGUCAGGCCUCCUUUCAGUCAAUCUCACGUUUAGCAAUGGAAGUGUAAUAGUACACUGGACUGGCCCAGAGGACCUCACACAUACAUAAAUACUCAUAAAAUAUUUAUUUCAUAAAUAACUUUUUCUUCAUUGUGAGUUUUGCUGAAACCCUAUCCAUGGGAUUUGAAUGCUUUAUUUCCUUAUUUACAGCAUGUGCCAGUAAGCUUUUUCUGUAAACGGCCAAGAGGCAAAAUUGAGGAUAUUACAUAAGCAUAAAGAGAGGAAACAAAUCUCUAUAAAAUUUCUAUUAAUGAAGUCAAACUAUGAUGAUUAUUGAGUAAAUUUUUUUCUAUAAUACAGACCUUUCUUUUGGGGAAGAGUAUAACAUUUCACCUAAUUAGGGUUCAAAGUUAGGGAUCCUCCAUCAUUAAAUCAAUUCACCUGGCAGCUUGGAGUCUAGGUUUUCAACUAUUUCUUCACAAUUUGAACACUUGAUGGUUGUCCCUUUUAAUUUAUUUGAAGUGCUAUUUUUUUAAAGAUUCAUCUGUACAUGCGAGAAAAAAACUGAUUCACCUGUUAAUGCUUAUGUGUAAUGAGAUUUUAUGUAUUACAUCUUUGAGGAUAUUUUCUUACACAGGUCAUAGAUGUGGCACUCAAAACGUGGAGUUAAGUCACUGCGAUUUGCAGUGUAGUGCAAAGUGAUGAGGGUACCACAUAUGGUCUGUCACAACUACUCAACUCUGCCACUGUAGUGCAAAAAGCAGCAACUGACAAUACAUGAAGAUGAAUGAAUGUGGCUGUCUUCCAAUAAAACUUUACUUGUGGAUACCGGAA